AUACGGAGGGUGCGAGCGUUAAUCGGAAUUACUGGGCGUAAAGCGUACGUAGGCGGUUUGCUAAGUCAGAUGUGAAAGCCCCGGGCUUAACCUGGGAAUUGCAUUUGAUACUGGCAGACUAGAGUAUGAUAGAGGGGGGUAGAAUUCCUGGUGUAGCGGUGAAAUGCGUAGAUAUCAGGAGGAAUACCAGUGGCGAAGGCGGCCCCCUGGAUCAAUACUGACGCUGAGGUACGAAAGCGUGGGGAGCGAACAGGAUUAGAAACCCCAGUAGUCC
RNAcentral lists this ribosomal RNA (274 nucleotides) under uncultured bacterium. Its description in RNAcentral is "partial 16S ribosomal RNA". It matches the Rfam family "Bacterial small subunit ribosomal RNA", at positions 523 to 796 of the family's 1533-position model. The record is from RNAcentral.